RNAcentral lists this unclassified non-coding RNA (333 nucleotides) under soil metagenome. Its description in RNAcentral is "partial contains 5.8S ribosomal RNA, internal transcribed spacer 2, and large subunit ribosomal RNA". The stretch from base 1 to 121 matches the Rfam family "5.8S ribosomal RNA", at positions 35 to 154 of the family's 154-position model. The record is from RNAcentral.
GAUGAAGAACGCAGCGAAAUGCGAUAAGUAAUGCGAAUUGCAGAAUUUCCGUGAGUCAUCGAAUCUUUGAACGCACAUUGCGCCCUUUGGUAUUCCUUAGGGCAUGCCUGUUCGAGCGUCAUUUAAACCUUCAAGCUAAGCUUGGUGUUGGGUGACUGUCCGCUUCACUGCGGACUCGCCUCAAAAUUAUUGGCGGCCGGUACAUUGGCUUCGAGCGCAGCAGAAACGCGAACUCGGGCCCGUCGUAUUGGCUCCCAGAAGCUAUCUUCACAAUUUUGACCUCGGAUCAGGUAGGGAUACCCGCUGAACUUAAGCAUAUCAAUAAGCGGAGGA